Molecule: ribosomal RNA, 254 nt
Filed under: uncultured bacterium
Lineage: Bacteria
Description: partial 16S ribosomal RNA
Rfam family: Bacterial small subunit ribosomal RNA
Source: RNAcentral
UACGAAGGGGGCUAGCGUUGUUCGGAGUUACUGGGCGUAAAGGGCGCGUAGGCGGCGCACCAAGUCAGGCGUGAAAGCCCUGGGCUCAACCCGGGAAUUGCGCUUGAGACUGGUGUGCUCGAGUACGGGAGAGGAUAGUGGAAUUCCCAGUGUAGAGGUGAAAUUCGUAGAUAUUGGGAAGAACACCGGUGGCGAAGGCGGCUAUCUGGACCGUAACUGACGCUGAGGCGCGAAAGCGUGGGGAGCAAACAGGG